UACGUAGGGUGCAAGCGUUAAUCGGAAUUACUGGGCGUAAAGCGUGCGCAGGCGGUCUCUUAAGACAGGUGUGAAAUCCCCGGGCUUAACCUGGGAACUGCGCUUGUAACUGAGAGGCUAGAGUGUGGCAGAGGGGGGUGGAAUUCCACGUGUAGCAGUGAAAUGCGUAGAUAUCGGGAGGAACACCAAAGGCGAAGGCGCUCUGCUGGGCCAGCACUGACACUGAGAGACGAAAGCGAGGGGAGCAAAUGGG
Molecule: ribosomal RNA, 253 nt
Filed under: uncultured bacterium
Lineage: Bacteria
Description: partial 16S ribosomal RNA
Rfam family: Bacterial small subunit ribosomal RNA
Source: RNAcentral